Molecule: unclassified non-coding RNA, 250 nt
Filed under: plant metagenome
Description: partial contains small subunit ribosomal RNA, internal transcribed spacer 1, and 5.8S ribosomal RNA
Source: RNAcentral
GUAGGUGAACCUGCGGAAGGAUCAUUACCGAGUUAGGGUCUCCUGUAGGCCCGACCUCCCAACCCUUUGUCUACAUUACCACUUGUUGCUUCGGCGGGCCCGUCUUCACGGACCGCCGGAGGACCGUCAAAACGUCCUCUGGCCCGCGCCCGUCGGUAGCCCCCAACCACAAACUCUUGAACAAAACGUGUCAUUAUCUGAGUACAAUUGUUAAUAAAGCAAAAACUUUCAACAACGGAUCUCUUGGUUC